CACGCACAUCGCAAGCAUUAUUAUAAGGUAUGUGAGAUUAUUGCUGGUGCAGAUGGACAAGGAAUGGUGGCUUGACACCCUGGCUGACAUCUUUAAAGAUUUCAGGAGACUUUAGGAAGCUAUAUCCAGAGGCAGACAGAAAACAUUUUGAAGACUGGACUAACGUUACAAUCGUAGACCGAAUUCUUGCCUAUGCCCAUCGAGAUGGAAAGGUGCAUUUAGAGCUGGGUGACAUGACUCCAGAUGCUAAAGGGGAGAGUGCUUUCAAUGUCCUGCCCACUCUGCUUCCCCCAUCAAUAUACAAGCAAGGCGGAGAGGUCUUCAGACCCACAACCACGGAAUCCCGGAAGUCAUUCAUUGACGUACAACC
Sinocyclocheilus grahami is the source of this 370-nucleotide long non-coding RNA. RefSeq lists it as uncharacterized. The record is from RefSeq and is a predicted model, not a curated record. The transcript has 4 exons. NCBI's taxonomy places the organism in Eukaryota, Metazoa, Chordata, Actinopteri, Cypriniformes, Cyprinidae.